RNA transcript from Coffea eugenioides, 804 nucleotides. It is a transcript of the gene named protein NUCLEAR FUSION DEFECTIVE 6, chloroplastic/mitochondrial, with no coding region annotated. The transcript is spliced from 4 exons. NCBI's taxonomy places the organism in Eukaryota, Viridiplantae, Streptophyta, Magnoliopsida, Gentianales, Rubiaceae. The record is from RefSeq and is a predicted model, not a curated record.
UACCAUAGGGUUUUAAGCCAUCUCUACAGUCUUGAACCCUUUGCCUUCCUCCCCAUUCUUCGUCACUUCUCUUGCUCACUAAAAACUUGCAAAAACAAAGAAAAUGGCCAUUUCCGCCACUUGUGCCGCAGCCAGAUCCAUUUUCCGAGCAUCCCCUGGCCGCACUGCCGCCGCCCGACUUGCUUCCCAAGCCAAGCCCUCUCGUUCCGCCUUCACCUUUCCUUCACGAGCCAACAUCCUCUCUAAUCGCAUUUCCAGGUCUCCGGUGGAAAUGAGCGCUUGCAUAGAGUCGAUUCAGCCGUACCACACCGCCACAGCCUCGGCUUUGAUGACCUCCCUCCUGACUGUCUCUCGCUGUGGUUACGGUUGGCUUCCCGAAGGUAUCUAGCAACAUCUUCUAGGAACCUCCUUCAAUGUCCUUUCCCUCCAUUUCUGCCUGUGCUUGCAAUGAUGAUGUGUGAUGAGUAUUUGGAGUGCUCAAGCAAAUUGUAAUGAACAAGUCUCAACAUUCUCAUUCAAUGGCACUAAGUAGAGGUUUCAACGAGCUGCGGAAAAGUUGUUUUGGAUGUCAUUCCUUCCAAAACUACAGAUUGCUUCUUUUUGGUGACUUCUAGAUUAGACUUCCAAUUUCUGCCAUUAGAUGCUAAAUGUCACCAAUUGACAUGGAUGUGAGAUGUAUUUAUUGUUCUAUCUUUUCUAAUUCAUUUCAAGCAUCAUCAUUGUAUGAAGUUAUCAAGGCAAUAUGCUGAUUUCUCAUGUAUCAAGCAGCUUGCAGUUAUAAUGUAUGAUCAAUUUUCUACCAUC